CAGGCGGCCUCAGCUCUCACU
RNAcentral lists this microRNA (21 nucleotides) under Mus musculus (house mouse). RNAcentral describes it as "mmu-miR-5617-3p". Lineage: Eukaryota; Metazoa; Chordata; Mammalia; Rodentia; Muridae. The record is from miRBase by way of RNAcentral.